GAAUCUUGCGCAAUGGGCGAAAGCCUGACGCAGCAACGCCGCGUGCGGGAUGAAGGCCUUCGGGUUGUAAACCGCUUUCAGCAGGGACGAAAUUGACGGUACCUGCAGAAGAAGCCCCGGCCAACUACGUGCCAGCAGCCGCGGUAACACGUAGGGGGCGAGCGUUGUCCGGAUUUAUUGGGCGUAAAGAGCUCGUAGGCGGCUCACUAAGUCGGGUGUGAAACCUCCAGGCUCAACCUGGAGACGCCACCCGAUACUGGUGUGGCUAGAGUCCGGUAGGGGAGCAUGGAAUUCCUGGUGUAGCGGUGAAAUGCGCAGAUAUCAGGAGGAACACCAGUGGCGAAGGCGGUGCUCUGGGCCGGAACUGACGCUGAGGAGCGAAAGCAUGGGGAGCAAACAGG
This 401-nucleotide ribosomal RNA is filed under the name uncultured bacterium. RNAcentral's name for it is "bacterial SSU rRNA". It matches the Rfam family "Bacterial small subunit ribosomal RNA", at positions 359 to 776 of the family's 1533-position model. The record is from RNAcentral.